Molecule: ribosomal RNA, 439 nt
Filed under: uncultured bacterium
Lineage: Bacteria
Description: partial 16S ribosomal RNA
Rfam family: Bacterial small subunit ribosomal RNA
Source: RNAcentral
CUACGGGGGGCAGCAGUGAGGAAUAUUGCACAAUGGGGGAAACCCUGAUGCAGCAACGCCGCGUGGAGGAUGACGCAUUUCGGUGUGUAAACUCCUUUUAUCAGAGAAGAAAAUGACGGUAUCUGAUGAAUAAGCUCCGGCUAACUCCGUGCCAGCAGCCGCGGUAAUACGGAGGGAGCAAGCGUUAUUCGGAAUCACUGGGCGUAAAGGACGCGUAGGGGGGUUUUUAAGUCAGGUGUGAAAUCCUAUGGCUCAACCAUAGAACUGCACUUGAAACUGGGGACCUAGAGUAUGGAAGGGGCAGGUGGAAUUAGUGGUGUAGGGGUAAAAUCCGUAGAUAUCACUAGGAAUACCGAAAGCGAAGGCGACCUGCUGGGACAUUACUGACGCUGAGGCGUGAAAGCGUGGGGAGCGAACAGGAUUAGAUACCCUCGUAGUC